This 253-nucleotide ribosomal RNA is filed under the name uncultured bacterium. RNAcentral's name for it is "partial 16S ribosomal RNA". It matches the Rfam family "Bacterial small subunit ribosomal RNA", at positions 524 to 776 of the family's 1533-position model. The record is from RNAcentral.
GACGAACCGUGCGAACGUUAUUCGGAAUCACUGGGCUUAAAGGGCGCGUAGGCGGAUUUGCAAGUCUGUGGUGAAAUCCUCCAGCUUAACUGGAGAAGUGCCGUGGAUACUGCGAGUCUCGAGGAAGGUAGGGGCAUCUGGAACUGCCGGUGGAGCGGUGAAAUGCGUUGAUAUCGGCAGGAACUCCGGUGGCGAAGGCGAGAUGCUGGAUCUUUUCUGACGCUGAGGCGCGAAAGCCAGGGGAGCAAACGGG